Molecule: long non-coding RNA, 310 nt
Filed under: Equus caballus (horse)
Lineage: Eukaryota; Metazoa; Chordata; Mammalia; Perissodactyla; Equidae
Description: lncRNA (ENSECAG00000055090.1)
Source: RNAcentral
GGGCGUCUGAGGCAAUUGCCAAGCCCACUGGGCAAUGGUGGCAGGGACUGGAGCUGACAUCCUGUCCCCGUCACUCCUGCCCAUUGAUGCUAUCCGUGGAGCACCCGCUCUGGCCGGAUGCAGUGGGCGGUCCCUUCAUCUUCUGCUGCAGAUCCGCCUGGGGAGUGUUUAUUUCCUCAUUUUACAGUGCCACCUUUUCUGCAUGGAAGGAGAUCAUGAAAUGUAGGACGGAAAACACAAAUCAAACCCCAGGUUGCCAAGGGGAUGCAGAGCAAAGGAAGACAGGUGGAAACGAUGAGGCGGCCUUCCG